GCAGAGAUGGCGGAGUGGUCGAACGCGCACGACUCGAAAUCGUGUUACGGGCAACUGUACGGGGGUUCGAAUCCCUCUCUCUGCGCCA
This 88-nucleotide transfer RNA is filed under the name Clostridia bacterium. RNAcentral's name for it is "tRNA-Ser". It matches the Rfam family "tRNA". From Rfam's summary of the family: Transfer RNA (tRNA) molecules are approximately 80 nucleotides in length. Their secondary structure includes four short double-helical elements and three loops (D, anti-codon, and T loops). The record is from RNAcentral. RNAcentral also lists the same sequence under 1 other name. Lineage: Bacteria; Bacillati; Bacillota; Clostridia.